GUCCCUGUAGCGCAAUGGAUGGUGUGUGUGUGACCUGGACUUCUAAUCCAAAGGUCGUGGGUUUGAAUCCCAUCUGGGAUG
Trichonephila clavipes is the source of this 81-nucleotide non-coding RNA. The record is from the annotation of a GenBank genome assembly. NCBI's taxonomy places the organism in Eukaryota, Metazoa, Arthropoda, Arachnida, Araneae, Nephilidae.